GUGGCGGGCGGGUGAGUAAUGUAUGAGCAACCUGCCUUUCAGAGGGGGACAACAGUUGGAAACGACUGCUAAUACCGCAUAAUGUAAUUUUGAGGGCAUCCUCGGGAUACCAAAGGAGCAAUCCGCUGAAAGAUGGGCUCAUAUCUGAUUAGCUAGUUGGUGGGGGUAACGGGCUCACCCAAGGCCUGCGAUCAGUAGCCGGACUGAGAGGUUGAACGGCCACAUUGGGACUGAGAUACGGCCCAGACUCCUACGGGAGGCAGCAGUGGGGAAUAUUGGGCAAUGGGCGAAAGCCCUGACCCAGCAACGCCGCGUGAAGGAAGAAGGUCUUCGGAUUGUAAACUUCUUUUAUGAGGGACGAAGGACGUGACGGUACCUCAUGAAUAAGCCACGGCUAACUACGUGCCAGCCGCAGC
Molecule: ribosomal RNA, 416 nt
Filed under: uncultured bacterium
Lineage: Bacteria
Description: bacterial SSU rRNA
Rfam family: Bacterial small subunit ribosomal RNA
Source: RNAcentral